AAUCAUAUUUAUAUUAAUUAAAAAUAAAAUAAAAUUUUAAAAUUACGUUAUUAUUUCUAUUUGCUUUUUCUGCUAUCGGGAUCACGAUCUAUUUGUAUGUCUACCCAUUAAAAAUAUUUUAGUCAUUUUAAUUUGAAAUUGUUAAGUUUUUAAUGUCGUUAGAUAGCAUGGGUUCAUAUGCAAAAAUAAAAACAAAAAAAAGGACAAAAUGACAAAACAAGUAUUUUACGAUGGUAUACAUGCAAAUAUCAAUUUUAAAAAGAUAUUUAUACAAAAUUCAAUAUUUAUGAGAGUAUUUAUGUAAAAGUUCUAAACAAAAAACCUUUACCCUUGCGUCUAAGGAAUGCAUUUUGUAUGCGGUACAUGAUGAGAAACAGAGAGGAACCAGAGAAGCGUCGUCUAGGUGGUUUCAACUGACCCUCUUUCUUCGACAUUUUAGCAAAACCUGAAAAUUCAUUAUUAAUUACCUUGAUAAUGGAUUGAUUAAAAUCUUGUUUU
Molecule: long non-coding RNA, 498 nt
Filed under: Phoenix dactylifera (date palm)
Lineage: Eukaryota; Viridiplantae; Streptophyta; Magnoliopsida; Arecales; Arecaceae
Description: long non-coding RNA (PDAC_LNC020281)
Source: RNAcentral